Molecule: non-coding RNA, 615 nt
Organism: Cinara cedri
Lineage: Eukaryota; Metazoa; Arthropoda; Insecta; Hemiptera; Aphididae
Source: the annotation of a GenBank genome assembly
CAACACUGACUGACCGUGAGUAGGGUACUGAUAUAGAUAGAAAGUCGGGUAGGUAUAGGAUAAUAUAUUGUGUGGGAAAUUCAGUUUGUAUAUUAUAAGCAAUGAUAAAUUAUUGACAAUGUAAAAUAAAUCUGAUCAAAGACUCUAUACGGUUAUAGAAUAAGCUGGCACCAUCAGGUAAAAAUCCGCACGGAGUAUUAUAUUACUGACCAAAACCGUGUUUUCCGAGAAUAUAUUUGAGUAAAACUAUAGUAAAUUUUUUUUCACUAAGUAUACUCAUAAUCUCGUACCAUACGAUAAUUUUCGAGAACUUGAAGUAUUGUAUUAUUGUGAAUAGCUAUUUUUAGAUAUGCAGGUAUCUGUUUCCUAUUCACCUCGUUACAUUCCCACUCAGUUUCGAGGAUCGGCUUAAACGUGUAAUCGAGAUGCAAUCGCUUUUCCUUUGCCCGAAAAAAAUUUCUUAGAUUACAAAAUGAUUAAAUUUUCUUCGACAUCGGUUCUACUAUACAAUAUAAGAAUCAUAUUAUAUGACGAAACACGCCGUUUACGUUGGUGAAUUGAAUUAUUAUCGGUACGUUGGGUUUUGUCCCAAACAUAAUAAUAAUGUUUGUUUGU